AUGAUCCAAUAUGAAGAGCAGGAGAGAACUGAGCAGAAUCUUGGUGACGUGUGGGUAAAGAGGCGAGCGUCUGGCCGCGCUGCUGGUCACCCGCGCGGCCGCGGCCUUCUUCCUGGACGGUGGGGCCAGGGACCUGCUUCGGGACCUGCACGAGGCCUUCCGCCAGAGCCCCUCGGGCGCGCGGAGGCAGUUCAAGGCGGUGCUCUCCGCUGGGGACCGAGAGCGCAUACGGGCCCAGGCGCAGGAGGCGGCGGACACGGGCUUCGCCCGCUUCCAGGAGGCCGUGCGGAGCCGCGCUGAGCUGCGCGAAAACUCGGGCCGCGAGCUGUUGGCCCCGGUGACCCGCGCGCUCCGUGUCCUGCUGCGCAUUGCGCCGCCUGGAGCCCGCCCGGCGCUGGGCGCUCGCCUGGCUGAGUGCCUCCUGCUGGC
This 429-nucleotide long non-coding RNA is filed under the name Suricata suricatta (meerkat). RNAcentral describes it as "lncRNA (ENSSSUG00005008944.1)". The record is from RNAcentral. Lineage: Eukaryota; Metazoa; Chordata; Mammalia; Carnivora; Herpestidae.